CCUGGCCAAGAUAUGAGGGAAAUCAUCCAUUUUUAUGCUUAGGUUCCACAAGGUAUGGACAGCCAUGCAGAAAUAGAAUUGGGCAAAUAGGGUCGGAGCUAAUGAGAAGAGCCUAAGUGGGGACACCCAGCCAGGCCUGUCUGUCUAGAUUCUUAUGGCCUCUCUGAGCAGUCUUCCUUCCUUCCUUCCUUCCAUCCAGGACCCUCUCUGGAGUGAGGGUCUUAAGAUCUACAGUCUAACAAGGCGAAAUACAACUAAGAAACACAACUUCCUACGUGGUAUGAAGUCACUCUGCUCUUCUGCCUGAGAAAAUUGUCAGAAUAGAAAUGGAGUCACGAAUGUUCACAAAACCCUGACCAAUAGGAUUGGAGAAGUCCUGAAGAGAAGAUUUUUGGGCUUGCAUGCCUGAUUUAAAAAAAAAAAGAGACUACAAAAACCACAGCCUUGCUCAGAGGACAUCGCCAGGGUACACAAAAAAGACAUUUGCAAGGACAUCUCCCCAGUAACCUCCUGUUUAACUUCGGACUGGUGUCACCCUUGUUAUUGAUAUUUCUAACCACAGAUAAUUAUUUCAAAACAAUUAUGUAAUUCUUCUUAUUUUUUUCCUUUAAAAACCUUUGUCUUCCUUUACCUCUCUGAAUACGCACUUACUUUUUACUAUGGCACACGUAUUCCCAUUGCAAUGCUUUAUUCCCAAAUAAAUUUCUUUUAGAGAGCUUGUCUCGGUUUAUUUCAGUUGACACCAAAUUUUCUAUGUGUAAGUGAAAAAAAGGUAGGGGGGAAUCAUAAAGUGUCAAAAUGGAGAGAUGUCUUCCAGAUGGUUCAGUCCAGUCCCUGUGUCUUACUAAAGGAGACUAAGCAUGUUAACACACACACACAAACACACACACACACACACACUCCAACC
This 907-nucleotide long non-coding RNA is filed under the name Homo sapiens (human). Its description in RNAcentral is "HSALNT0023384". The record is from RNAcentral. Lineage: Eukaryota; Metazoa; Chordata; Mammalia; Primates; Hominidae.